GUUUCAAAUGUCAGUUUCAAGUUUACUUGAAUUUUUGUGGAAUUUAUUACUGCAAUGUUUAAAUUAGAUUUCCAGAUAAGAACUAGACAGAGAAUACUUGAGUAACCAGCUGCUAAGCAUGGCUCCUAAUGCCUUUAUAAACCUCUUUCUCUCCUGUUGGAUAAAAUCGAGGCAGGCACACUUUAAUUCACAUGAGCAUGUAUCACACUUCCUAAUAUAGGGUUUUAAUUGAUUAUUGAAUGUAUCAUAAUAUUGGGGAAUAUGGAGGCCACUUUGCUUUCAUCUGUCUGAUUUGUUUUUCACAAUUUCAAAUACUUUUUUUUAUUUGAAAGCCUAAACCAACUCUGGCCCUCAGUAUCCAUUCCAGUCCUGAUAAUUGUAUUUGAAACAGCUAGGUGUCACUGAACUAAUUUAGGAUUUGAUGUAAUCAAAGUCCUUGACUGGACCACAAUACCUUGUUAGAAGCAGAGUGUUCCAUACCUUUUUUUUUCAUUGGACCUUUUUUUUUUUUUUUUUGCUCGGACAGGACUACAGUCUCAUAUUGAAAUCCUGAAGACCACAAUUGAAAGGCACAAGAAGCACAUAGCAGAAAAGGAAUCCGAGCUGAUACGCAAAGUUCAUGCAAUCAGAGAGGAAGAAUUUCAAAAACUUACAGCAGUUCAAGAUGAAAAGGCCAAAGUGCAACAACAAGGGCUUCUCCUAGAAGAGCUGGAGAGAGAGAAAAAUGGGAAUGUCGGUCUUAGACAGCAAAAACAUGACCUCCAAAUUGAAGUGACAGCACUGUCACAUUCAGAAAGCGACUUACUUGAUACCAAUCUGAAACUGUGUUAAAUGCUGGAACGAAUAAAAGAGGAAAUACGAAAUGCAAGAAGCCAAGCAGAAAAGGCACAGCAGGAAGCAGAAAAGUACACCCUUAAUUCUGUUUUUAUUACUUGUGAAAUCUGCCUCGCGUUCAAACGGAUGAGCCAAAUACUUGAAGCAUUUUUAUUGACCCUAAACGAAUACAUUUGUCAUAGAGCUGAACUUGAAGAAAAAAAAACAAAAACAGUGUAAUCUAAGAAGGGCAUUUAUUUUAAAACUGAUGUCCUUCCUCAUUUAAGACUUUGAAAUAUCUGUCACUUUCAGUUGUUGUUGUUGUUGUUGUGUCCUUGAACAUGCAUAAAUACAUACAAGAGGUUGAGGUGAUUAUUGGUUUAUGACAAACCUUCAAUAGAAAGUGUACAGCAGCAGCUACUUUUGAAAAUGGUGACUUGUGUGGAUGUUAAACCAAAGUUUUAAAAUCAGUUUUAUUACUUCUUAAUCACAUUAUCAACUGCACAACUGGUUAUCUAAUAUAUAGAAAAAUGUUUAUUUAAGUUGUACAAGCAUUGCUGUUUGCUUCCUGUGGUGUGUUUCCUUGGUAAAGCAAGACAGUCAACUUGGUGGACCAUGUAAGAGAUUGUAUCAUAGGAAGUAGUAAAGGAAGAGGUUUUUUGAACCCUGUAGAGGGGAAACUUAAAGAAAAAUCGGUUAAACAGGCAACCACUAAAAACAUAACGUGGUAAUGUUGUUAAAAUGAAGCAUUUAGUAACAUUUCAAUCAGAAAUGUGGCUAUUUUGUUCAAUAUUGUUAAUUUAUUUCUGUUUUAUAAUUCUCUCUGUGGUUUUAUAGAUUUCCUGCAGUUUAAAACUUACUUUUUAAAGCAUUCCACAAAGUAAUUGAUAAAUUGUUACAAUUCACAGUUGGAAUCUCUAGAGGUUUACAUAUUGAAUUAUUCAGAACUUGCAAAUAUUUAGCUAGUCGUAAAAAUAGGCCUUUAAAAUAUUCAUCAAUAAUCACUCACCACAGCUACAACCAAAGUGCAAUUUAUAUUUGAUAGUGAGAAGCCAAAGUUUUGAGCCCAGCAAAUAAUUUUUAUCCACUGUCUGGCAUUGCAUUUCACUGACGGCAGCAUUACAGUUGUACCAAAACACAGCUAUUUGAGUGCUUUCACUGCAUUGUUGUAGCAAAUGGCAACAUGUGGUUAUGUUUUAUGUGUCCUAACAAAUUCCCAUCUGCCCCUUUUUUAUUUGAAGAGUUCUUGAAGAUAGAUGUAUAGAAUGGCUAGAAGAGAAACACAAACUGCAGGAGUGUUUUGCUACACUAGAAGUACUGUCAAGCCAAGGAGAAGCUGCAGUGAGCUGCACGUGCACAGAAAAAGGUGUCUGUAACUACACACACAUUUUUUACAAUUGGGAACAUAAAAGUGCU
This is a long non-coding RNA of Polyodon spathula (Mississippi paddlefish), 2229 nucleotides long. RefSeq lists it as uncharacterized. The transcript has 3 exons. The record is from RefSeq and is a predicted model, not a curated record. Lineage: Eukaryota; Metazoa; Chordata; Actinopteri; Acipenseriformes; Polyodontidae.